UUGGCCUUGACAUACUAAGAACUUCCCAGGGAUGGAUUGGUGCCUUCGGGAACUUAGAUACAGGUGCUGCAUGGCUGUCGUCAGCUCGUGUCGUGAGAUGUUGGGUUAAGUCCCGNAACGAGCGCAACCCUUUUCCUUAUUUGCCAGCGGGUCAUGCCGGGAACUUUAAGGAUACUGCCAGUGACAAACUGGAGGAAGGCGGGGACGACGUCAAGUCAUCAUGGCCCUUACGGCCAGGGCUACACACGUGCUACAAUGGUCGGUACAAAGGGUUGCUACCUCGCGAGAGGAUGCUAAUCUCAAAAAGCCGAUCGUAGUCCGGAUCGCAGUCUGCAACUCGACUGCGUGAAGUCGGAAUCGCUAGUAAUCGCGGAUCAGAAUGCCGCGGUGAAUACGUUCCCGGGCCUUGUACACACCGCCCGUCACACCAUGGGAGUUUGUUGCACCAGAAGUAGGUAGUCUAACCGCAAGGAGGACGCUUACCACGGUGUGGCCGAUGACUGGGGUGAAGUCGUAACAAGGUAGGCGUAGAUGA
RNAcentral lists this ribosomal RNA (535 nucleotides) under uncultured bacterium. Its description in RNAcentral is "bacterial SSU rRNA". It matches the Rfam family "Bacterial small subunit ribosomal RNA", at positions 975 to 1509 of the family's 1533-position model. The record is from RNAcentral.